UAUGUAGGGGGCGAGCGUUGUCCGGAUUUAUUGGGCGUAAAGAGCGUGUAGGCGGCUUGGCAAGUCUGCUGUGAAAACUCGAGGCUCAACCUCGAGCUGUCGGCGGAAACUGCUUGGCUAGAGUCCGGAAGAGGAGAGUGGAAUUCCUGGUGUAGCGGUGAAAUGCGCAGAUAUCAGGAAGAACACCUAUGGCGAAGGCAGCUCUCUGGGACGGUACUGACGCUGAGACGCGAAAGCGUGGGGAGCGAACAGG
RNAcentral lists this ribosomal RNA (253 nucleotides) under uncultured bacterium. RNAcentral's name for it is "partial 16S ribosomal RNA". It matches the Rfam family "Bacterial small subunit ribosomal RNA", at positions 524 to 776 of the family's 1533-position model. The record is from RNAcentral.